Molecule: long non-coding RNA, 597 nt
Filed under: Elaeis guineensis (African oil palm)
Lineage: Eukaryota; Viridiplantae; Streptophyta; Magnoliopsida; Arecales; Arecaceae
Description: long non-coding RNA (EGUI_LNC034793)
Source: RNAcentral
ACCUUCAAGUAAUCGAGUGGGAAUAAGAGUAAAAAGGUAAGGAUUAAGAAAACAAAUAAUAUUUUCUUUCGAGGUGUCAAAGAUAUAUAUCAUUUGCUGGUUAACACUUCUUCUAUAAGCAACUCUUUAUUCUUUAUCUGGAUUUGGAAAUUGUAUGCUCCAUGAAAAUUAAAAUUUUGUCGUGAAAAUUGGUAUAGUUAAAGGACCCUUGUAAAUUAGUCCUCCGUAGAUUUGGAAUUAUUGGGGUCGAUUCUCAAUUUUAUAACCAUUGCCCAGGUCAAGUGGAGGACUGUAAGGAUACUAUUACAUCUUCUCCUUAUACUCUAUAAUACUGGUUGAGGCUAACGCAUGAUAGUAUUGUGAACUAUCAUCCUAUUCCUUUGCCAAUAUUAAUAGAUGUUUUGUCCUAUGCCUAGGUAGAGAAAGGAUAAAAGCAGCCAUAGCAUAUAUAGCAUGGUUUAUUUGGAAAGCUAGAAAUAAAAGGGUCUUUCAAGAUAUGGUUAAUCCACCUGCAAAUAUGGUAAAAGGAAUACUCUAUCUGUAUUCUGAUUUUAUUCAGAGCUAUUCACUGGUUGUUUUUAACUCUAUUACCAGGCA